GACCUCGGAUCAGGUAGGAAUACCCGCUGAACUUAAGCAUAUCAAUAAGCGGAGGAAAAGAAACCAACAGGGAUUACCCUAGUAACGGCGAGUGAAGCGGUAAUAGCUCAAAUUUGAAAUCUGACCUUCACGGGUCCGAGUUGUAAUUUGUAGAGGAAGUUUCGGAUAAGGCUGUGGUUUAAGUGUCUUGGAACAGAACGUCAUAGAGGGUGAGAGUCCCGUCUAGAGCCGAUAGCCGCGUCCAUGUGAAACCCCUUCGACGAGUCGAGUUGUUUGGGAAUGCAGCUCAAAAUGGGUGGUAAAUUUCAUCUAAAGCUAAAUAUUGGCCAGAGACCGACAGCGCACAAGUAGAGUGAUCGAAAGAUGAAAAGCACUUUGAAAAGAGAGUUAAACAGUAUGUGAAAUUGUUGAAAGGGAAGCGCUUGCAACCAG
This 432-nucleotide ribosomal RNA is filed under the name uncultured fungus. RNAcentral describes it as "eukaryotic LSU rRNA". It matches the Rfam family "Eukaryotic large subunit ribosomal RNA", at positions 1 to 432 of the family's 3401-position model. The record is from RNAcentral. Lineage: Eukaryota; Fungi.